ACGCACGCUGGCGGCGUGCUUAACCCAUGCAAGUCGUGCGGUAAGGCCCUUUCGGGGGUACACGAGCGGCGAACGGGUGAGUAACACGUGAGCAACCUGCCCUUCACUUUGGGAUAACUGCCGGAAACGGUGGCUAAUACCGGAUAUGACUUCCUCACGCAUGUGGGGUGGUGGAAAGCCUUCGGGUGGUGGGGGAUGGGCUCGCGGUCUAUCAGCUUGUUGGUGGGGUGAUGGCCUACCAAGGCUUCGACGGGUAGCCGGCCUGAGAGGGUGGCCGGCCACACUGGGACUGAGACACGGCCCAGACUCCUACGGGAGGCAGCAGUGGGGAAUAUUGGACAAUGGGCGAAAGCCUGAUCCAGCAACGCCGCGUGAGGGAUGACGGCCUUCGGGUUGUAAACCUCUUUCGCCUGCGACGAAGCGAGAGUGACGGUAGCAGGUAAAGAAGCACCGGCCAACUACGUG
Molecule: ribosomal RNA, 465 nt
Filed under: uncultured bacterium
Lineage: Bacteria
Description: partial 16S ribosomal RNA
Rfam family: Bacterial small subunit ribosomal RNA
Source: RNAcentral